Molecule: long non-coding RNA, 933 nt
Organism: Oncorhynchus kisutch (coho salmon)
Lineage: Eukaryota; Metazoa; Chordata; Actinopteri; Salmoniformes; Salmonidae
Exons: 4
Source: RefSeq, a predicted model, not a curated record
GUGGGACCUUUAAACUCUCGUCAAGAGAUAUUUCCUUUUAGGUAAUUUGUUUGCGAGUUUUCUUUCGUUUCUGAAGUAACGUUAGCUAUGAGCUUUGGCGGGACCUUAAAACGCUAGAAGAGGAUCAUGGAAAAAUAGAUUUCCUCAGGGAGCGCAGUAUGCCUUACCAAGGGAUGGCAACGCAUUUUGCCUGGGAAUGGGAUUCCAGAGAUGGACUUUGUCAGGGUUGACAAAAUGUGGUGGGAUCGCCCUCCACCACCAUCUGCAGCUCAGUAGAGAUGGAGAGGAACUUUGCCCGUCCUCUGCUGCUCUGGAUGCCCAGGAAGCUCUGGCAGGUUCAGCUGUAUUGCCCACAUUCUGUGCAGUAGGAAGGUCAUCAGUUGGAACAUAUGGUUCCUUACACUGUUCAACGCAAAUAUACUGGACCUGAGCCCUAGGAUAAGGCAUCUGGACUGCCUGGCCUGUUUUCGACUCUCUCUCUACCGCACCUGCUGUCUCGACCUCUGAAUUCUCGACUAUGAAAAGCCAACUGACAUUUAAUCCUGAGAACCGAGACAGUGACGUGGUAAACUAUGCAGCUGUGAAUUUCACCACCAAGAAAAGCCCCUCCUCCAGAAGAGAGAGAGCCCAGACCAGCAGAGAGGAUGCAGAGUACUCUGAGGUCAGGUACCUUCAGCAGGAGUGAGAUAUGUGAACAACCUCACCACAUUGAACAGAAACCACAUCCAUAUACAAUAGAAAUAACUUCGAAGGCCUUGUGACGACUGGUAAAAAUAAAAGAGAUUUUAGUACGUAACUAAUAGCUAAAUAAAAUAGAAAAUACAUGUACUUGUAACCCAUAAAAGCAACUUCGAUGAGUAGCCUUUCAUUGUUUCUCUGUCUUAGAUGUACAAAUGGCCUCAUAACUGAAUAAAUGUUGCUGAUCAAAAAUCA